UACGUAGGCAGCAAGCGUUGUUCGGAAUUACUGGGCGUAAAGCGAGUGUAGGCGGUCCGAUAAGUCGGGUGUGAAAGCCCUGGGCUCAACCCAGGAAGUGCACUCGAAACUGCCGGGCUAGAGUAUCGGAGAGGUUGGUGGAAUUCUCGGUGUAGAGGUGAAAUUCGUAGAUAUCGAGAGGAACACCGGUGGCGAAGGCGGCCAACUGGACGAAUACUGACGCUGAGACUCGAAAGCGUGGGGAGCAAACAGG
Molecule: ribosomal RNA, 253 nt
Filed under: uncultured bacterium
Lineage: Bacteria
Description: partial 16S ribosomal RNA
Rfam family: Bacterial small subunit ribosomal RNA
Source: RNAcentral